This 8134-nucleotide long non-coding RNA is filed under the name Acyrthosiphon pisum (pea aphid). RNAcentral's name for it is "uncharacterized LOC107883714". Lineage: Eukaryota; Metazoa; Arthropoda; Insecta; Hemiptera; Aphididae. The record is from RNAcentral.
UAGUGUACUAGUGUUAGUGUACAGUACGCCAUUGUCACGCGUAAUUUUGGUGGCGUCACGGCAAGAGCGACGGUCAACUCCACUGAAGAAUUUUGCACUUUAUCGGGUUUCGGUUCAUCAUUCAACUAUUCGAGUGAAAGUGGGCAAAAUUUUAACGAACUAUCUGCCGUCCCCAAACUAUUUCCAUUGUAUCUCGACGAUUGACAACGAUGGACAGCAAGAAUGAAAUCGUUAGAGCCAGUACAUUGAGUGGCAAAAGUUGGAUGACAGAUGUAACGGCUUCCAAGGAUUUCGUCAAGUUAUUGCUCAGCAUAUGGAACUACAAUCGAAGGACUAUCUAACGGAUGCAGGUACGUUUGCCUGUAGAAAAAAGGGUUCUUUUUCUCAACGGGAGAAUCGGGGAUAAUCUAAGGAACAGCCACGCCGCUGAUCAGAACGCGUCCUGGUGGCUCUCGCACCGCCAUAACACCACUCAUCAGCGGUUGGGUGGGGGGGGGGGGGGUGAAGUGCGGCAACAGUGUAACGCGCAAAACAGAUUUUGAGGUUAGCGUCUACUGUAUGGUACCGUAAAUUAACAAUGGCGUCGCGGCAAGAGCGGCGUUCACCUCCACUGUAGAAUUUUGCACCGUAUCGAAUUGUUGCUCACCAUUCGACUAUUCGAUGCUUGAGAACUUUUUAGGAUAAAAACUUCACUGGUAUCGUGUAUGGUGAGCAAAAAUUAGAAACAGUGCAGCGUUUUACAGUGAAGGUGGGUGGUUUUUACCGAACCUUCUGCUGGACUCAAAUAAUUUCCACUGACUGUCGACAUUCGCUUGAAAUGGAAGGCGAAGAGGGCAGCGUUGGCAAGAACAGUGAAUCAGGAGCAACGGUCCUUACCAUGUUGGCUUAACUAUGGUCAUCACAUAAAUCGGAGCUUGGAAGCUGCUCCGGCGACGGGUUCUAACCGUUAACUGACGAUUGGUGGUUUUUACGGACCCGCGAAUGAUUUUCAUUUUAUCUCGACGAUUGACAACAGUGGACAGGACGACAUCGUUAGAUGAAGUACAUUGAGCGACGAUGGUAGGAGCUUGGAAGACAGACGCGCCGGCUUCAAAUGAUUUCGUCGCGUGAUUGCUUGGCACAUGGCAAUACUUUCAAGACAAUCGAACAAUUUUCUAACGGAUGCAGGUACGUUUGCCGCGGCAAGCGUGGUUCUUUUCUCAUCGAGAACUUUGGUGAUAAACGAAGGAACAGCUAGACCACACCGCUGAUCGGAGCGGGUCUCGGUGGCUCCUCUCACCCCCAACGAGUCACUAGUCAUGUGUGCUUGAUGGCGGGAUGAGGUGCGACUAGAGUCUACUGCCGAAUUUCGACAUCUGAUGCCAGUUUCUAGGCUACCGUUUCGUAAAAUACUGGUAGCGUCGCGGCAAGAGCGGCGUUCACCUCCACUGUAGAAUUUUGCACCGUAUCGAAUUGUUGCUCACCAUUCGACUAUUCGAUGCUUGAGAACUUUUUAGGAUAAAAACUUCACUGGUAUCGUGUAUGGUGAGCAAAAAUUAGAAACAGAGCAGCGUUUUACAGUGAAGGUGGGUGGUUUUUACCGAACCUUCUGCUGGACUCAAAUUAUUUCCACUGACUGUCGACAUUCGCUUGAAAUGGAAAGCGAAGAGGGCAGAGUUGGCAAGAACAGUGAAUCAGGAGCAACGGUCCUUACCAUGUUGGCUUAACUAUGGUCAUCACAUAAAUCGGAUCUUGGAAGCUGCUCCGGCGACGGGUUCUAACCGUUAACUGACGAUUGGUGGUUUUUACGGACCCGCGAAUGAUUUUCAUUUUAUCUCGACGAUUGACAACAGUGGACAGGACGACAUCGUUAGAUGAAGUACAUUGAGCGACGAUGGUAGGAGCUUGGAAGACAGACGCGCCGGCUUCAAAUGAUUUCGUCGCGUGAUUGCUUGGCACAUGGCAAUACUUUCAAGACAAUCGAACAAUUUUCUAACGGAUGCAGGUACGUUUGCCGCGGCAAGCGUGGUUCUUUUCUCAUCGAGAACUUUGGUGAUAAACGAAGGAACAGCUAGACCACACCGCUGAUCGGAGCGGGUCUCGGUGGCUCCUCUCACCCCCAACGAGUCACUAGUCAUGUGUGCUUGAUGGCGGGAUGAGGUGCGACUAGAGUCUACUGCCGAAUUUCGACAUCUGAUGCCAGUUUCUAGGCUACCGUUUCGUAAAAUACUGGUGGCGUCGCGGCAAGAGCGGCGUUCACCUCCACUGUAGAAUUUUGCACCGUAUCGAAUUGUUGCUCACCAUUCGACUAUUCGAUGCUUGAGAACUUUUUAGGAUAAAAACUUCACUGGUAUCGUGUAUGGUGAGCAAAAAUCAGAAACAGAGCAGCGUUUUACAGUGAAGGUGGGUGGUUUUUACCGAACCUUCUGCUGGACUCAAAUUAUUUCCACUGACUGUCGACAUUCGCUUGAAAUGGAAAGCGAAGAGGGCAGCGUUGGCAAGAACAGUGAAUCAGGAGCAACGGUCCUUACCAUGUUGGCUUAACUAUGGUCAUCACAUAAAUCGGAUCUUGGAAGCUGCUCCGGCGACGGGUUCUAACCGUUAACUGACGAUUGGUGGUUUUUAAGGACCCGCGAAUGAUUUUCAUUUUAUCUCGACGAUUGACAACAGUGGACAGGACGACAUCGUUAGAUGAAGUACAUUGAGCGACGAUGGUAGGAGCUUGGAAGACAGACGCGCCGGCUUCAAAUGAUUUCGUCGCGUGAUUGCUUGGCACAUGGCAAUACUUUCAAGACAAUCGAACAAUUUUCUAACGGAUGCAGGUACGUUUGCCGCGGCAAGCGUGGUUCUUUUCUCAUCGAGAACUUUGGUGAUAAACGAAGGAACAGCUAGACCACACCGCUGAUCGGAGCGGGACUCGGUGGCUCUUCUCACCCCCAACGAGUCACUAGUCAUGUGUGGUUGAUGGCGGGAUGAGGUGCGACUAGAGUCUACUGCCGAAUAUCGACAUCUGAUGCCAGUUUCUAGGCUACCGUUUCGUAAAAUACUGGUGGCGUCGCGGCAAGAGCGGCGUUCACCUCCACUGUAGAAUUUUUCACCGUAUCGAAUUGUUGCUCACCAUUCGACUAUUCGAUGCUUGAGAACUUUUUAGGAUAAAAACUUCACUGGUAUCGUGUAUGGUGAGCAAAAAUUAGAAACAGAGCAGCGUUUUACAGUGAAGGUGGGUGGUUUUUACCGAACCUUCUGCUGUACCCAAAUUAUUUCCACUGACUGUCGACAUUCGCUUGAAAUGGAAAGCGAAGAGGGCAGCGUUGGCAAGAACAGUGAAUCAGAAGCAACGGUCCUUACCAUGUUGGCUUAACUAUGGUCAUCAAAUAAAUCGGAGCUUGGAAGCUGCUCCGGCGACGGGUUCUAACCGUUAACUGACGAUUGGUGGUUUUUACGGACCCGCGAAUGAUUUUCAUUUUAUCUCGACGAUUGACAUCAGUGGACAGGACGACAUCGUUAGACGAAGUACAUUGAGCGACGAUGGUAGGAGCUUGGAAGACAGACGCGCCGGCUUCAAAUGAUUUCGUCGCGUGAUUGCUUGGCACAUGGCAAUACUUUCAAGACAAUCGAACAAUUUUCUAACGGAUGCAGGUACGUUUGCCGCGGCAAGCGUGGUUCUUUUCUCAUCGAGAACUUUGGUGAUAAACGAAGGAACAGCUAGACCACACCGCUGAUCGGAGCGGGACUCGGUGGCUCUUCUCACCCCCAACGAGUCACUAGUCAUGUGUGGUUGAUGGCGGGAUGAGGUGCGACUAGAGUCUACUGCCGAAUAUCGACAUCUGAUGCCAGUUUCUAGGCUACCGUUUCGUAAAAUACUGGUGGCGUCGCGGCAAGAGCGGCGUUCACCUCCACUGUAGAAUUUUGCACCGUAUCGAAUUGUUGCUCACCAUUCGACUAUUCGAUGCUUGAGAACUUUUUAGGAUAAAAACUUCACUGGUAUCGUGUAUGGUGAGCAAAAAUUAGAAACAGAGCAGCGUUUUACAGUGAAGGUGGGUGGUUUUUACCGAACCUUCUGCUGUACCCAAAUUAUUUCCACUGACUGUCGACAUUCGCUUGAAAUGGAAAGCGAAGAGGGCAGCGUUGGCAAGAACAGUGAAUCAGAAGCAACGGUCCUUACCAUGUUGGCUUAACUAUGGUCAUCAAAUAAAUCGGAGCUUGGAAGCUGCUCCGGCGACGGGUUCUAACCGUUAACUGACGAUUGGUGGUUUUUACGGACCCGCGAAUGAUUUUCAUUUUAUCUCGACGAUUGACAUCAGUGGACAGGACGACAUCGUUAGAUGAAGUACAUUGAGCGACGAUGGUAGGAGCUUGGAAGACAGACGCGCCGGCUUCAAAUGAUUUCGUCGCGUGAUUGCUUGGCACAUGGCAAUACUUUCAAGACAAUCGAACAAUUUUCUAACGGAUGCAGGUACGUUUGCCGCGGCAAGCGUGGUUCUUUUCUCAUCGAGAACUUUGGUGAUAAACGAAGGAACAGCUAGACCACACCGCUGAUCGGAGCGGGACUCGGUGGCUCUUCUCACCCCCAACGAGUCACUAGUCAUGUGUGGUUGAUGGCGGGAUGAGGUGCGACUAGAGUCUACUGCCGAAUAUCGACAUCUGAUGCCAGUUUCUAGGCUACCGUUUCGUAAAAUACUGGUGGCGUCGCGGCAAGAGCGGCGUUCACCUCCACUGUAGAAUUUUGCACCGUAUCGAAUUGUUGCUCACCAUUCGACUAUUCGAUGCUUGAGAACUUUUUAGGAUAAAAACUUCACUGGUAUCGUGUAUGGUGAGCAAAAAUUAGAAACAGAGCAGCGUUUUACAGUGAAGGUGGGUGGUUUUUACCGAACCUUCUGCUGUACCCAAAUUAUUUCCACUGACUGUCGACAUUCGCUUGAAAUGGAAAGCGAAGAGGGCAGCGUCGGCAAGAACAGUGAAUCAGGAGCAACGGUCCUUACCAUGUUGGCUUAACUAUGGUCAUCAAAUAAAUCGGAGCUUGGAAGCUGCUCCGGCGACGUGUUCUAACCGUUAACUGACGAUUGGUGAUUUUUACGGACCCGCGAAUGAUUUUCAUUUUAUCUCGACGAUUGACAACAGUGGACAGGACGACAUCGUUAGAUGAAGUACAUUGAGCGACGAUGGUAGGAGCUUGGAAGACAGACGCGCCGGCUUCAAAUGAUUUCGUCGCGUGAUUGCUUGGCACAUGGCAAUACUUUCAAGACAAUCGAACAAUUAUCUAACGGAUGCAGGUACGUUUGCCGCGGCAAGCGUGGUUCUUUUCUCAUCGAGAACUUUGGUGAUAAACGAAGGAACAGCUAGACCACACCGCUGAUCGGAGCGGGACUCGGUGGCUCUUCUCACCCCCAACGAGUCACUAGUCAUGUGUGGUUGAUGGCGGGAUGAGGUGCGACUAGAGUCUACUGCCGAAUAUCGACAUCUGAUGCCAGUUUCUAGGCUACCGUUUCGUAAAAUACUGGUGGCGUCGCGGCAAGAGCGGCGUUCACCUCCACUGUAGAAUUUUGCACCGUAUCGAAUUGUUGCUCACCAUUCGACUAUUCGAUGCUUGAGAACUUUUUAGGAUAAAAACUUCACUGGUAUCGUGUAUGGUGAGCAAAAAUUAGAAACAGAGCAGCGUUUUACAGUGAAGGUGGGUGGUUUUUACCGAACCUUCUGCUGUACCCAAAUUAUUUCCACUGACUGUCGACAUUCGCUUGAAAUGGAAAGCGAAGAGGGCAGCGUCGGCAAGAACAGUGAAUCAGGAGCAACGGUCCUUACCAUGUUGGCUUAACUAUGGUCAUCAAAUAAAUCGGAGCUUGGAAGCUGCUCCGGCGACGGGUUCUAACCGUUAACUGACGAUUGGUGGUUUUUACGGACCCGCGAAUGAUUUUCAUUUUAUCUCGACGAUUGACAUCAGUGGACAGGACGACAUCGUUAGAAGAAGUACAUUGAGCGACGAUGGUAGGAGCUUGGAAGACAGACGCGCCGGCUUCAAAUGAUUUCGUCGCGUGAUUGCUUGGCACAUGGCAAUACUUUCAAGACAAUCGAACAAUUUUCUAACGGAUGCAGGUACGUUUGCCGCGGCAAGCGUGGUUCUUUUCUCAUCGAGAACUUUGGUGAUAAACGAAGGAACAGCUAGACCACACCGCUGAUCGGAGCGGGACUCGGUGGCUCUUCUCACCCCCAACGAGUCACUAGUCAUGUGUGGUUGAUGGCGGGAUGAGGUGCGACUAGAGUCUACUGCCGAAUAUCGACAUCUGAUGCCAGUUUCUAGGCUACCGUUUCGUAAAAUACUGGUGGCGUCGCGGCAAGAGCGGCGUUCACCUCCACUGUAGAAUUUUGCACCGUAUCGAAUUGUUGCUCACCAUUCGACUAUUCGAUGCUUGAGAACUUUUUAGGAUAAAAACUUCACUGGUAUCGUGUAUGGUGAGCAAAACUUAGAAACAGAGCAGCGUUUUACAGUGAAGGUGGGUGGUUUUUACCGAACCUUCUGCUGUACCCAAAUUAUUUCCACUGACUGUCGACAUUCGCUUGAAAUGGAAAGCGAAGAGGGCAGCGUUGGCAAGAACACUGAAUCAGAAGCAACGGUCCUUACCAUGUUGGCUUAACUAUGGUCAUCAAAUAAAUCGGAGCUUGGAAGCUGCUCCGGCGACGGGUUCUAACCGUUAACUGACGAUUGGUGGUUUUUACGGACCCGCGAAUGAUUUUCAUUUUUACUCGACGAUUGACAACAGUGGACAGGACGACAUCGUUAGACGAAGUACAUUGAGCGACGAUGGUAGGAGCUUGGAAGACAGACGCGCCGGCUUCAAAUGAUUUCGUCGCGUGAUUGCUUGGCACAUGGCAAUACUUUCAAGACAAUCGAACAAUUUUCUAACGGAUGCAGGUACGUUUGCCGCGGCAAGCGUGGUUCUUUUCUCAUCGAGAACUUUGGUGAUAAACGAAGGAACAGCUAGACCACACCGCUGAUCGGAGCGGGACUCGGUGGCUCUUCUCACCCCCAACGAGUCACUAAUCAUGUGUGGUUGAUGGCGGGAUGAGGUGCGACUAGAGUCUACUGCCGAAUAUCGACAUCUGAUGCCAGUUUCUAGGCUACCGUUUCGUAAAAUACUGGUGGCGUCGCGGCAAGAGCGGCGUUCACCUCCACUGUAGAAUUUUGCACCGUAUCGAAUUGUUGCUCACCAUUCGACUAUUCGAUGCUUGAGAACUUUUUAGGAUAAAAACUUCACUGGUAUCGUGUAUGGUGAGCAAAAAUUAGAAACAGAGCAGCGUUUUACAGUGAAGGUGGGUGGUUUUUACCGAACCUUCUGCUGUACCCAAAUUAUUUCCACUGACUGUCGACAUUCGCUUGAAAUGGAAAGCGAAGAGGGCAGCGUCGGCAAGAACAGUGAAUCAGAAGCAACGGUCCUUACCAUGUUGGCUUAACUAUGGUCAUCAAAUAAAUCGGAGCUUGGAAGCUGCUCCGGCGACGGGUUCUAACCGUUAACUGACGAUUGGUGGUUUUUACGGACCCGCGAAUGAUUUUCAUUUUAUCUCGACGAUUGACAUCAGUGGACAGGACGACAUCGUUAGAUGAAGUACAUUGAGCGACGAUGGUAGGAGCUUGGAAGACAGACGCGCCGGCUUCAAAUGAUUUCGUCGCGUGAUUGCUUGGCACAUGGCAAUACUUUCAAGACAAUCGAACAAUUUUCUAACGGAUGCAGGUACGUUUGCCGCGGCAAGCGUGGUUCUUUUCUCAUCGAGAACUUUGGUGAUAAACGAAGGAACAGCUAGACCACACCGCUGAUCGGAGCGGGACUCGGUGGCUCUUCUCACCCCCAACGAGUCACUAGUCAUGUGUGGUUGAUGGCGGGAUGAGGUGCGACUAGAGUCUACUGCCGAAUAUCGACAUCUGAUGCCAGUUUCUAGGCUACCGUUUCGUAAAAUACUGGUGGCGUCGCGGCAAGAGCGGCAUUCACCUCCACUGUAGAAUUUUGCACCGUAUCGAAUUGUUGCUCACCAUUCGACUAUUCGAUGCUUGAGAACUUUUUAGGAUAAAAACUUCACUGGUAUCGUGUAUGGUGAGCAAAAAUUAGAAACAGAGCAGCGUUUUACAGUGAAGGAGGGUGGUUUUUACCGAACCUUCUGCUGUACC